AUGGGAGUCUGGUCGAUCAAAAGAAAGACAGGGGCGAUCCCCAUGCUCCAAACCCUAGAAAACUCACAAAAACUCUCAAUUGGAGGUGCAAAUCUGGUCCAAAACGAAAUCCGAGCUUAGAAUCGUGAUCCUCAUCGCAAGGGGGUUGUAAGUUUGACUUUUGACAAGCUAGAUGGAGGCUUGGAAGGAAGCGGGUCAAACGAAGCAAAUAAGAAGUAAAAGCAUGUUUCAGAAGCAAGGAGCGAAUAGUAAUUUGGAUAAUUGCGUCGCCACAGAAUAUCGGUAAUAAAAGCAAGGUGUUGAAACGGGUCACUAGGUUGGCUCGAGCUAGGUGAAUGUCGAGGGUCCCGGAUGAAGAUCGAGCAUCGAGCAAGAACCGAACACACAUUAAAUAAAGCUUCCGCAACGUUGUUUUGUCGUUAUUCUAAACGGCGAUUUAAAUCACAUUAUGUAUAUCACUUAAAUUGUAAAAGUUUUAAACAAACCCGUAUUUCCGAUAUAUAU
RNAcentral lists this long non-coding RNA (504 nucleotides) under Helianthus annuus (common sunflower). Lineage: Eukaryota; Viridiplantae; Streptophyta; Magnoliopsida; Asterales; Asteraceae. The record is from RNAcentral.